AUUCGGUUUGGUUAUUGGUUUUCACACACGGCUUUUCUUUUGUGUGAGGUUAAUAUAAAAUAUGCCCUAGUAGCAUCUCCAAGUAAUAUUUGUCUCUAGUUAUUGUAUUGGUCUGAUAUUUCUCACAUAAUGGCGUCAGUUUCUACUGCUCCAGCGCCGGGUAUGCACCAGAUCGACUUGUCCAAGUUAAAUCUUCACCAGUUGGCUCAGCUCAAGCAGCAACUAGACCAAGAGCUAAAUGUCUUCCAAGAUUCUCUUUCAACGCUAAAGAUGGCUCAAGGAAAAUUCGUUGAGUCUGGCGAGAGCGUGGAAAAAAUUACACCUAGCAGCAAGGGCAAGAGUAUUCUGGUACCACUAACAGGCUCCAUGUAUGUGCCCGGUACUAUAGCAGAUACUGAACACGUAGUAAUAGAUAUAGGCACAGGAUAUUAUGCACAAAAGGACAUAGAAGGUGCUAAAGAUUAUUUCAAAAGAAAAACCCAGUUUGUAACAGAGCAAAUGGAGAAAAUCCAAGCCAUGGGCAUUGAGAAAUCAAAGGUCCGGGAAGCAAUCUGCAUGAUGAUGGAAAUGAAGCUGCAAGCUCAGGCGCAGGCACAGAAGCCUUCCACCUCAUAACAAUGGAACAAGUCACUGACCCGCUUGCUUGAUCACAUAUUCAAAUUUACUUUGUAUUAAUACUGGUAUUAAAGAUUUUGUGAGUAAAUGUCACAACAUGUUUAAACAUGGUUUCUAGAAAUAAUAAUGAUAUUUGUGCUUUAGAUUCUAUGAAGCAUUUGUACAGUACUAGAUCACUAAUUUUAUUCUACUGCUCGAGUAGACAACAUCUACAUGAAGAAUUACCUAUAUUUCAGAAAUACUUAUGUCUUUAUUCUCUUUUGUUAUGAGAAUAGUCAACAAACAUUUUAUUAAUAUUCAUUUAAAAUUUAAAUUAUUAAUUCAUUGUCAUGUGAAUUGCUUUGUUAAGAGUUGUGUUUGAAAAAAUGCUUUUAUAACUAAUGUGCAAUUGCUUGUAAGGUGUAUAAUCGGAAAAUUAGGACACACAUAUUUUGCCUUAGAUAAAUCACAGAAGACACCUAAAGCAUCUCGUGACUCCUCCCAGGCAUCGAAAAUAUGCUUAAUUAGCUCAACACCGGCAUCGGUUGUUGAGCGACCCCGUGUAAAACCAAACUGCUUAUUAUGCAUCAAAUUAUUAACGUUAAAAUGUCGUACUAAUUGAGAAAGAACUAAUUUUUCAAAAAUCUUGCUAAAUGUUGGUAGCACAGAUAUCGGUCUAAAGUUAGUGGGGUCAGAGCUGCUACCAGAUUUAAAUAAAGGAAUUACUUUACUAUGUUUCAUUAGAUCAGGAAACUCGCCGCAAUCAACACUGUUGUUAAAUAUAACUACCAAGUCAGGCGCUACAAUUUCUACUAAGGAUUUGACAGCAUG
This is an RNA transcript of Cydia splendana, 1425 nucleotides long. It is a transcript of the gene named prefoldin subunit 5, with no coding region annotated. Lineage: Eukaryota; Metazoa; Arthropoda; Insecta; Lepidoptera; Tortricidae. The transcript has 4 exons. The record is from RefSeq and is a predicted model, not a curated record.